UAAACUAUAAUUAUUUUAUAUAAAAAUACCCGAAAUAAAAAGAUCAAAAAAGUUAUAUGUAUAGUAUCCUAAAUUAAAUAUAUAGCAUAAUGUAAUUUUAAUAACUUUUUAGGGGAGAAAUUCCAACAGUUUUUAUGAUAGCUGGAUUAAGGGGAAAAGUAUUAAGUACUUGAGACAAUUAUAAAGUGAUAAGAUUUUAUAAUCCAAAUAAGGUGUUUUUAUAGCUCUAGGGUUAACCCCCUGAAAGUUUGUUGCCAAUAACAUUUUUUGACUACAUCUUUUUACUUAUUUUAUCCUUAAACUUUGAAGUAUUAGUAAUUCUUUGUUUAUAAUGUUUAAAUCAGUAUCUACUUAUAAUUUUUAUUAAGGAAUUCGGCAAAAUUUCUGUUCGACUGUUUAUCAAAAACAUAGUCCGUUGUUAUUUAUAAUGGAUAAUGCCUGCCCAGUGAUUUUAUUUAACGGCCGCAGUACCCUGACUGUGCAAAGGUAGCAUAAUAAUUUGGCCUUUAAAUGGGGUCUAGAAUGAAUGGACUUACGAAUAGCAGCUGUCUCAAUUUUAAUUAAAGAAAACUUAUUUAAAAGGUGCAAAUGCCUUUAUAUUUAUACAAUAGACGAGAAGACCCUUAGAAUUUAAUUUAAAAUAAGAAAUGUUCUUGUUUUCAUUUUGUUGGGGCAACAAAGCAGCAUUAAUUAAUCUGCUUUCUAAUAUUUGUGUAAGCCGACUACUAGUAUGAAUAUAUAAAUUACCUUAGGGAUAACAGCAUAAUUUAAUAAAGAUUGUGACCUCGAUGUUGGAUUAGGGCCAUAGUAAUUUAGUCAAUUGCUAUGUUAGUUCUGUUCGAACUGAAAAACCUACAUGAUCUGAGUUCA
This 870-nucleotide ribosomal RNA is filed under the name Chondrina kobeltoides. RNAcentral's name for it is "partial large subunit ribosomal RNA". The stretch from base 351 to 596 matches the Rfam family "Archaeal large subunit ribosomal RNA", at positions 1785 to 2143 of the family's 2987-position model. Lineage: Eukaryota; Metazoa; Mollusca; Gastropoda; Stylommatophora; Chondrinidae. The record is from RNAcentral.